UUUCCGUAGGUGAACCUGCGGAAGGAUCAUUAUCGUACAACUGAGGUGCGAAGGCUGUCGCUGACCUUCAAAGGUCGUGCACGCCCGAGUGCUCUCACAUCCAUCUUUACCCCCUUGUGCACUGCCGCGUGGGCCCCCAUUUUUGCAAAGGGGGGCUUGCGUUUUAACAUAAAACUUGAUAUGGUGUAGAAUGUCUUUUCUUUUGCGGUUACACGCAAUCAAUACAACUUUCAACAACGGAUCUCUUGGCUCUC
This 254-nucleotide unclassified non-coding RNA is filed under the name plant metagenome. RNAcentral describes it as "partial contains small subunit ribosomal RNA, internal transcribed spacer 1, and 5.8S ribosomal RNA". The record is from RNAcentral.